GGGGGGGGGGGGGGGGGGGGGUAGCGGAGGGAAGGGGGGCGGAGGGGGCCAAGCUUGCGUGGGGACGCGAGUGGCGAACGGGGGAGUAACACGUGGGGGAGCGGCCCUGCAGUGCGGGAGAAGCCUGGGGGACUGGGUCUAGGCCCGGAUAGGCCGAUGGGUUGGAUGCCAGUGUGGACAGUUGUUUCGGUGUGUGAUGAGCUCGCGGCCUAUCCGCUUGUUGGUGGGGUAAUGGCCUACCAAGGCGUCGGCGGGUAGCCGGCCUGAGAUGGUGUACGGCCCCAUUGGGCCUGCGAUCCGGCCCAGACUCCUACGGGAGGCAGCCAUGGGGAAUAUUGCACAAUGGGCGCAAGCCUGAUGCAGCGACGCCGCGUGGGGGAUGACGGCCUUCGGGUUGUAAACUCCUUUCGCUAGGGACGAAGCGUUUUUGUGACGGUACCUGGAGAAGAAGCCCCGGCUAACUACGUG
RNAcentral lists this ribosomal RNA (468 nucleotides) under uncultured bacterium. Its description in RNAcentral is "partial 16S ribosomal RNA". It matches the Rfam family "Bacterial small subunit ribosomal RNA", at positions 37 to 507 of the family's 1533-position model. The record is from RNAcentral.